AUUGAACGCUGGCGGCAGGCCUAACACAUGCAAGUCGAACGAGUGGCGGACGGGUGAGUAAUGUCUGGGACACUGCCCGUUGGAGGGGGAUAACUAUUGGAAACGGUAGCUAAUACCGCAAACCAUCGGAUGUGCCCAGAUGGGAUUGGCUAGUAGGUGGGGUAACGGUGCACCUAGGCGACGAUCCCUAGCGGGUCUGAGAGGAUGACCAGCCACACUGGAACGGAGACACGGUCCAGACUCCUACGGGAGGCAGUAGUGGGGAAUAUUGCACAAUGGGGGCAAGCCUGAUGCAGCCAUGCCGCGUGGAUGAAGAAGGCCUUCGGGUGGUAAAGUACUUUCAGCGAGGAGGCGUUACUCGCAGAGGAAGCACCGGCUAACUCCGUGCCAGCAGCCGCGGUAAUAC
RNAcentral lists this ribosomal RNA (406 nucleotides) under uncultured bacterium. RNAcentral describes it as "partial 16S ribosomal RNA". It matches the Rfam family "Bacterial small subunit ribosomal RNA", at positions 29 to 526 of the family's 1533-position model. The record is from RNAcentral.